UGGCGGCAUGCUUUACACAUGCAAGUCGAACGCGUCAGGGGGCAACUUCUGAUGAGUGGCGAACGGGUGAGUAAUGCAUCGGAACGUACCCCGUAGUGGGGGAUAACCCGGCGAAAGCCGGGCUAAUACCGCAUAUGCUCUACGGAGGAAAGCAGGGGACCCGCAAGGGCCUUGUGCUAUGGGAGCGGCCGAUGCCCGAUUAGCUAGUUGGUGAGGUAAAGGCUCACCAAGGCGACGAUCGGUAGCUGGUCUGAGAGGAUGAUCAGCCACACUGGGACUGAGACACGGCCCAGACUCCUACGGGAGGCAGCAGUGGGGAAUUUUGGACAAUGGGGGCAACCCUGAUCCAGCCAUGCCGCGUGCGGGAAGAAGGCCUUCGGGUUGUAAACCGCUUUUGGUCGGGAAGAAAAGGCACCUCCUAACAGGGGGUGUUGUUGACGGUACCGGCAGAAUAAGCACCGGCUAACUACGUGCCAGCAGCCGCGGUAAUACGUAGGGUGCGAGCGUUAAUCGGAAUUACUGGGCGUAAAGCGUGCGCAGGCGGUUCGCCGUGUCCGAUGUGAAAGCCCCGGGCUCAACCUGGGAACGGCAUUGGAAACUGGCGGGCUGGAGUAUGGCAGAGGGGGGUGGAAUUCCACGUGUAGCAGUGAAAUGCGUAGAGAUGCGGAGGAACACCGAUGGCGAA
RNAcentral lists this ribosomal RNA (685 nucleotides) under uncultured bacterium. RNAcentral's name for it is "bacterial SSU rRNA". It matches the Rfam family "Bacterial small subunit ribosomal RNA", at positions 37 to 719 of the family's 1533-position model. The record is from RNAcentral.